Molecule: long non-coding RNA, 487 nt
Organism: Panicum hallii
Lineage: Eukaryota; Viridiplantae; Streptophyta; Magnoliopsida; Poales; Poaceae
Exons: 3
Source: RefSeq, a predicted model, not a curated record
AAGAGGAGCUAAUAGCCAUGCUUCAAAACUAUAUCAAGUCAAUGACUGAUGCUAAUACUUUGGAGAUUUUUAGGCAGAAAUUAGCUUUCAUCUUGCAAGAGACGAAAGCACGUGCUCUUUCCAUUCGUAGCAUACCGCUGGGAGAACAAGAGUUAAGGGAUGAAAUUUGGGAAUAUGUCAUGUCAAUUGAUCAUGAUGAGGCUUUAAAGAAAGAAUGGGUGCUAAGCCUCAAGCCUUACCCGAUUGCCUUAUCUCUCAAGAAAAUUCAAGAAACCCAAUGGUCUCGUCGAUCUGCCCCAUGUUGGGCACCAACAGUCCAUGUUUUUACCGCCAGCCUACCUAGAGAUACCCUAAGGUAGGAGACUAUUUGGUGAGAGAUUGCCAGAUCUGGAACUUGAAGGUAAAAGCGAGAACACAAGAUACGGAUUUAGACAGGUUCGGAUCGCCAGAAUAGCAUAAUACCCUGCAUCCUGUUUGGGGUGUUGUA